AUGUGUUUAAGGCAUGAUCAAGCAAACAAACGACAGAAUACUUUUUCUGAAACCUUAACUGUGAUACCUGUUAUGGCAGCUAACAGACACUCGGCGCAUGGCUCCUUUGUUUACGUUAGGGAUCAGCUGUUAGCGCUGCGCCCUGCAGCUGCGCUACCGGCAGACAGACCCUACGUCCCCAGUGAGGGAAGAGACGGGGGUGAUGUCUCCCGAGAAGGACACCUUACACACCAUCUCUCCUUCCUGUAAUCACUGUAAACGUGAGAUCGCUCCCUGAUAUGAUUGAGGAGCUAAUGACGCUAACCCGGUCACAGUGGCAGUACCCCGACACUGCCCGGUACUCCCUCUGUGAGUAGGCUGCCCGGCUUCCAGCUGCUGCGGCCGGACAAGACCAGAGACAGCGGUGAGAGGAAAGGAGGGGGACUGGGCAGUGUUUGUUAAAGACAGUUGUGGUAUCCCUGGGCACAUUGCUGUGAAAGAACAACUCUGCAACAGAGACAUUGAGCUAUUAGCCGUUAGCAUCCGUGGAGGCAGCCUGUGACUCUCUGUGGUCCGCAGACUGCAGACGCAAUCUCCGAGAGCUCUUCUUCUAAUAUCAGGGGACUUUAAUCAUGUCUCGCUGGACUCCACACUGCCCACCUUCACCCAGUAUGUGACCUGCCCCACCGUAGGCAAUAAAACAUUGUACUUAAUGUAUGCCAAUGAAAAAGUGGCAUACAGUUCAUCACCUCUCCCUGCCCAGGGAAGAUCUGAUCGUAACCUAGUGCACCUUGUCCCUGUGUGCAGCACUUGUGCACGGAGCCACCAAUCACCCACGCAGUGCAGAGAUGGUCCGCGGAGGGCAUAUGAAUAAAUAAUAAAAGCAAAUAAAUGACAGAAUGCUUUUUCUGAAACAAACGGAGACCUUAACUUUUAUCAAAAUACCAUUUUACUCAGUUUAAAGUAAUACCACUGUAUAAUAGCCUUCAAAUUUAAUAAUGUUAACAGUAUCUCAGGAAUAUUUUUGCCCCAUCAACAUGCAUUAAAAAUAGAUAUGCAGUUUUGAAUCAGACCUGUAUGUACGUUUUCUGAAAAGUGAUGUAAAUAAAUAAUCUCAAAAACAUGAAAUAAUUGUUUCCCAUGUAAACUGGAGUUGUCCUUGUCAAUGUCAUCAGAGUACUCUGGAUGUCUUACAUGAAUUUGAAACAGAGAGUGGCACAUGACAGCGUUGUACAUAACAUAACUAGUUUACCUGUAUGACAUGAAGUAAUUUAAAAAAAAAAAAAAAGAAUCCAUGUAACUUGGUUAUGGCUUCUUUCUGAUAACUGUAGAUACAAAUGGGCUGCAGUGUGCAUUAUCUUGACAUAAGUAUAAGAUACUGAACCCGCUGAUAUGAUGUGGUGGAGGAACACAACUACCUGGACACCCACAUAUAUACAUUUGCUGAACUGGAAGAUCAAAACAGAGGCUGUACACAAGAAGUGGAUGGGCAGGCGGGUUUUUGAGAACAAGCUUAUGUGUGCACCAAAAUGUUAAUGACAGGUGUUCUGUCAGUUCAGGUGAGUGCAGUGCACUUUGAUGUGUUCUUCUUGGAUCAGGAGAGCACGUUCUGUGCUCCGGAAGCUGUGGUGGAGAGGAAGUGAGUGAACAAACUGCCAUGCAUCAUGGAUAUUCCUCUCAAUCCACCUCAUCAGGUACCUCUCUAAAAGUGUGACUCAGGUCUGUUGCCCCAAAGGAUACAGGAAAUGCACUGAUUUCCAGGACAGAAUCGUGUCUGUUUAAUGCUCCAUGAUGAUAACUUUCCUGUGAGCGUUUGAAGAUCACUGACAUCAUGGCUUUUAGCCUCAUUGUUUCUGCAAAGAGAUUUCUCCAGUCACUGAAUCUUUUGAUAAAAUAUAUUUUUAUGCCUCUAGAGGAUGGAAUAUUUUAAGUCUUUACAACUUUACAUUUGGGAACAUUAUUCUGAAAUUGUUGCACAAUUUGUUAAUGGAGUUUUUUUGCAGCUUGAUCAACCUCUGCCCAUAUUUCCUCCAGAGCAACUCUGCUUCUCUAAGAUGCUCUUUUAAUAUCUAAUCAUGUAACUGACCUGUUACUUUUAAAAUAUCCCUGCAGCUGUUUCUUUUUAGUACCACUUUUUCCAGCCUUCUCUUGCCCCAUCUCAACUGUUUUGAAACAUAUUGCUGCCAUCAAAUUAAAAUGGACUUAUUUUUAACGACAUAGUCUCGGUGUAAACAUUUGACAUGUUUUCUAUGUUCUACUGUGAAUAAACUUUGCCUUUCACAUUUGCAAAUCAGUGCUUGCUCUUUUUUUAUUCACAUUUUACACUGGAGUCCAGUAUUUUCAGAACUAUGUUUGUACAAAGCAUAAUCUGUACAAAGCAAAACAUAAUGUGCUCGGUGUGAACUGUCACAACAUCAAACACACGCUAAACCACUUUAUAUCUACUACACUAUACUGAGCCACUUCAAUACCUACUAUACAGUUUUUUAUUUUUUAAUUAUUUACUGUCACUGCUUUAUAGUUGUAUUUAUCAAUAUCAACAGCUGUAACCUUUAGAUUAAUCAAGUUGACUUUAUCGAGAUUCAGCUUCAGUUGUAUACUUUCCAUUUCACAACUUCCAUCUUAUACACUUUAAAAAUCACUCAACAUUUUUUAUUUUCAGUGUCACACAGCUCGUUCUUGUAUCUCCACUACUCAAUGGUACAUAGUAAACACGUAUUAUAACUUUUCACAUUAUAUGUAUCCAGUCACCUAGAUAUUUUGAAGUCUUUCCACUUGCUGCUAUUAUGUUU
RNAcentral lists this long non-coding RNA (2771 nucleotides) under Oreochromis niloticus (Nile tilapia). RNAcentral describes it as "lncRNA (ENSONIG00000032215.1)". Lineage: Eukaryota; Metazoa; Chordata; Actinopteri; Cichliformes; Cichlidae. The record is from RNAcentral.